RNAcentral lists this ribosomal RNA (197 nucleotides) under uncultured bacterium. RNAcentral's name for it is "partial 16S ribosomal RNA". It matches the Rfam family "Bacterial small subunit ribosomal RNA", at positions 328 to 539 of the family's 1533-position model. The record is from RNAcentral.
ACGCUCGACACCUACGGGAGCAGCAGUGGGGGAUAUUGCACAAUGGGGGGAACCCUGAUGCAGCGACGCCGCGUGAGGGAAGAAGGUUUUCGGAUUGUAAACCUCUGUCUUUAGUGACGAUAAUGACGGUAGCUAAAGAGGAAGCCACGGCUAACUACGUGCCAGCAGCCGUGGUAAUCUGAGCGGGCUGGCAAGGC